GGGCUCACUUUGGCAGCACAUAUCCUAAAAUUGGAACGAUACAGAAAAGAUUAGCAUGGCCCUGAAGGAUGACAUACAAAUUCAUAAAGUGUUCCAUAUUUUU
Molecule: small nuclear RNA, 103 nt
Organism: Choloepus didactylus (southern two-toed sloth)
Lineage: Eukaryota; Metazoa; Chordata; Mammalia; Pilosa; Megalonychidae
Source: RefSeq, a predicted model, not a curated record